RNAcentral lists this transfer RNA (69 nucleotides) under Eocanthecona furcellata. Its description in RNAcentral is "tRNA-Gln". The record is from RNAcentral. Lineage: Eukaryota; Metazoa; Arthropoda; Insecta; Hemiptera; Pentatomidae.
UAUAUUUAGGUGUUAGAUGCACAGAAAAUUUUGAAUUUUCAGGUUAUGGUUUAAUUCCAUAAAAUAUAA